Engraulis encrasicolus (European anchovy) is the source of this 798-nucleotide long non-coding RNA. RefSeq lists it as uncharacterized. The transcript has 3 exons. The record is from RefSeq and is a predicted model, not a curated record. NCBI's taxonomy places the organism in Eukaryota, Metazoa, Chordata, Actinopteri, Clupeiformes, Engraulidae.
UCUCGCUCGGGUGAAAUCUCUCCUGGAAGAUUUCAAGGUGUGUGCAGAGUUCUGAAGAAUAAAAGUCAACAGUCAAGUUCUUCUCCAUAUUCUCCAAAUCUGACGGAGGCGUUCCAUCAGGAAAGGGGGAAUGGUUGGUCGAUGCCUCCAGAAUAAUGAUACCCAUGACCCAGGCACAACAUGCUGACAGGGAAUCGGCUAUGGCAGAAAGCAUCCAUGCCAUCUACGUGAUCCGCCAUGAAGGUUCAGAAGCUACUGACAGUCCUGAGGACAUCGGAAUCAUUUUCAAAGGGGUGACUGCAUUUGGCUGCUUGUCAAACAUCCUACCCAGGCUCCGCCCUCGCAGUGACGCAACACCUUCGGCUCUGCUACACACACUCAGGAAAACUUUGUUCAGGUACUUUCGGGUUCCCUCCACAGCAGGAAACUCCACCCACUUUGUCGGGAAGCAAUCGACUUUCAGCAUCACCAACCGUCCUGGCUAGAGGCGUGUUCAAGGAAGUGACAAGGUUUGAGCAGAGACGCUCUAUUGGGACUAAGAAAAUGUUUGGUUUGAACUUUGGCUCAGCCUGUUCGGCCCUCGACCAGUAGCAAAUCAUGAGAGUUGGGUCAACCAUGCCGUUUGAGAAUGUUGUUAUGCUCUUGGUCAGACCAAGUCUCGAAGAGAUUUGUAAGUCAUGAUAAUCAGGUUACAAAUAUUCACUUACAGUGGCCAUAUUUCUUGCCCUUGUUUACGCACUAAACUUGUUAUCCUCCUUGAAAGUUGUGUGUGUGUGUGAGUAAUAAUGCAGACAUAAU